CCACCUUGGGUGUGGGUGGCAUAUUGAGUUGUGGUCUCAAAGGAGCCGCGCAGGCGGUAGGGUGGA
Molecule: transfer RNA, 66 nt
Filed under: Graffilla buccinicola
Lineage: Eukaryota; Metazoa; Platyhelminthes; Rhabdocoela; Graffillidae
Description: tRNA-His
Source: RNAcentral